AAGAGACACUCUGAAGCUGUGCUUUCAGGAGGAAUUUGUAAGAAGGUAGGGGAAGCAGGGUAGAGCAGGGGAAAGGGCUAAACAAAGAUGAGGUGUUAGUCGAGGUUGAAUUUCAGUCUUACCUAUGGAAUUCUGGAGUGUGAAUGACACCACAGAGUUGUCCACUUUGAGGCAAGGAGACUCAGGUUGCAAACCCUCUUAUUAAUCAGUGACCAGCUACAGGAUGCCCUGAGGGGAAAUACUGAUUCCCAGGCAUUUUUCCAAAGAGGUGGCUUCCACUGGCCAAGAAUAAUUCUCUAGAGAAAGGUAUAUGUUUAAGUCAUUAGCAGCAACACUUACAACAUUUGGAAACAUGGUAUUAGGGCAGUAAAGGGGCUCAGGGCAGGGUACCAGCAGUAUCUAAUACAACCACAAAAAUAAAAGCAAGGAACUUGGAUUUGAUUUAAUAAAUCCAGGGUUUCCCAUCUGUAGACUGAGGCAAAAAUCCUGGAGCUGCUAUUAAUUCUGAAAUAGAGCAGAUGAAAGGGAUCGAUUAUUGUGUGACUAUCUCACUGGGAAAACUAAUGUAAUUAACAGAAAGAUACCAACAGACAAAGUAAGAAGAGAUAAAAAUUUCUUGAAAAGAAAAAGGUGGAGUUCCUGUCGUGGCUCAGUAGUUAACGAAUCCAACUAGGAACCAUGAAGUUUUGGGUUCGAUUCCUGGCCCUGCUCAGCGGGUUAAAGAUCCGGCGUUACCGUGAGCUGUGGUAUAGGUUGCAGACACGGCUUAGAUCUGGCGUUGCUGUGGCUGUGAUAUAGGCUGGCAGCUACAGCUGCAAUUAGACUCCUAGCCUGGGAACCUCCAUACGCUGUGGGUGUGGCCCUGGAAAAGACAAAAAAAAAAAAGAAAAAGGUAAUAAAAUUUAUGGAUAUAGUCAAAGGACAGAUACCAAAGAGAAAAAUACUGGAGUUCCCUGAUGGCUCACUAGGUUAAGGACCUGGCAUUGUCACUGCAGCAGCUCAGGUCACUGCUGUGGCAUGGGUUUGAUCCUGGACCAGAAAAUUCUGCAUGCUGCAAGUGUGACCAAAAAAGAAAAAAAUAUUAAAGAAGACAUAGACUUGAUGAGGAAUUUAAGAAUAACUAAUGAUAUAUGCAUAGAAAACUAAGCUGACAAAAAGAGAGGGUAUUGUUAAUUUUAAGAACAAUGAAAAGUUGUUCAAGGAAAGAAACAAGUACAAUUAACAAUAUUUACUGGAGUUCCCGUCAUGGCUCAGUGGUUAGUGAACCUGUCUGGCAUCCACAGGGACGUGGGUUCCAUCCCUGGCCUCAGUCAGUGGGUUGAGGAUUCGGCAUUGCUGUGAGCUGUGGUGUAGGAUGCAGAUGCAGCUUGGAUCUUGCAUUGCUGUGGCUGUGGCAUAGGCCAGCAACUGCAGCUCCAAUUUGACUCCUAGCCUGAGAAUGUCCACAUGCCUUGAGUGAAGCCCUAAAAAGCAAAACAAAACAAAACAAUUAACAACAUUCACAACACGAAUAAACAACAUUACUCAUUGAAUUCUGAUUUAAAUUAUGAUUGACAACGUUAGUAAGUUAACAUUUUUACAUUCUCAAUGACCUAAAAAUAAAUGUCAAUAAAAUCUGGGAGAGGAGUUCCCCUUUUGGCUCAGUGGAAAUGAAUCUGACUAGUAUCCAUGAGGACAGUUUCCAUCCCUAGCCUUGCUCAGUGGGUUAAAGAUUCGGCAUUGCCGUGAGCUGUGGUGAAGGUUGCAGAUGCGUCUCAGAUCUGGCAUUGCUGUGGCUGUGGCAUAGGCCAGCGGCUAGAGCUCCGAUUUGACCCCUAGCCUGGGAACCUCCAUAUCCUGUUGGUGCAGCCCCCAAAAGCAAAAAAAGCGAAAAAAAAAAUCUGGGAAAUAUCUCUCCCUCUUUCUCUCUUCCCUUCUCUUUCAGUCUCUACUCUCUUACCUAAACAUUAUAAUUUUUUUUGUGUGUUUUGUUUUUCAGGGCCGCACCCAAGGCAUAUGGAGAUUCCCAGGCUAAGGGUCGAGUUGGAACUACAGCUGCCAGCCUACACCACAGCUCACGGCAACACCAGAUUCUUAACCCACUGAUCGAGGCCAGGGAUUGAAUCUGUGUCCUCACAGAUGCUAGUCAGAUUUAUUUGUCUACAGCUGAGCCACGAUGGAAACUCCUCUCCCUUAUAUUGUAAUCUCUACCUCUAGCUCUAACUCAUCUUUGCCUCCCCUAACCGUAGUAAUUAAAGCAAAGUCUUGGAUUUUAUUUUUGUGUAUGAUGUGAGGCACCCAGAUUCAUUCUUCUGCAUGGGGAUAUCCAGUUGUCCCAUCAGCCUUUGUUGAAAAGACUAUUCUUUCCUACAUUGAAUGGUCUUGAAUCUUUUGUAAAAAAUCAAUUGAAAAAGUUCAUAUUCUGGAAUUCAUUGGGCAUUGUCACUGCUGUGGCUUGCUUUUCAUCCCUCCCCAGGAACGUCCACAUGCCGAAGGCAUGGCCAACAACAACAAAAAAAUCAAUCUGCCAUAUAUGUGAGUUUAUUUCUAGACUUUUUAGUCCACUGGUCUAUUCUUAUGCCAAAACCACUCUAUUUUGGUGACUGGAGCUUUGUAGUAAGUUUUGAAAUCAGGAAGUGUGAAUCUCCAACUUUGUUCUUUUCCAAGAUCAUUUUGGCUAUUGAUGGCAGGAAUUUCCCUUUAACUCCAAAGUCCAUUUCUGCUUUUAGCCAGGUUUGUCACUGUUUCCAGACCACCAUUGGCACCUCCAGCUAUGACAACAUUAUUUGGAGUAAUGCCAGACCUCCAAACAGGGCAUUAUUCCUCUGAGUAGAAACAUAGGUACCUGGGUUUUUGUGAAACCACAUUUAUUUCAUGAGAAAAAAAUUAAGUCAAGGUUUCUGUUGUAGUUUUUUGGUAUCAUACAAGUGAAAGCAGCAUAUUGAUAGGAUGAACUAUUUAUCUAAAUAGAAGGCACAGAAAUCAAUUUUCAUAGUUUAGAUGCAACUCUAGACACCAUGGCAAGUGCAACAUGGUGGACCCAAAGUUAAGGUCUGAAUGAUACUCUUGCUGUGUGAGGUAGAAGCCAGGUCCAUCUGAACAAAAUUUCAUGGGUAUACUUUUUUUUCCUAUUGCCCUUCCCUUCCCAAUUCCCAUCUUCUUUUCUUCUUGCUAACUUCCUUCCUGCUCCUAUUCUCACACCUCCUUCUUUGAACAUCUUUCCAUCCUCCUCCUCUUUUCCUUGCCCUGCCUUCUCCUCCCUGCCCUUUAAAACUCCAAUCCCCUCUCUAAAUUCCAACUCAACUUUAGGAAAACAAGUUGGUUAAAGUGAUCCUCAGAAAGCGGUGUCAACAACAAACUCACUAGCACCCUUUAGCCCUCAGUGUUCAUUAAACCCAAGAAGAAGCUAGCAGGUAAAAUAAGCGCAGACUGUCUAGGAAAGGUGUUUGGGUCCCUUUAGGUCUCCCAUGAAAUCGCUUUACUGAGCCUAUGGUGCAUAUAUUUUAAGACAACCUAGAAUUCUGUCUUGAUUUUCAUUUUAAUUUAGAGGGUGGCUGUGAUGUGCAGCAGGGAGUGUUUUAGAGGGGAGUUCCUUUGAUCCCACUGUGGUCAAGUCUGAGCCUUUCCUUUUAGUCCACUGGACAUCUACAAGUUUUCACUUUCUACUCCGGGCUACUGUGCCUUGUGUUGUCCACCCAGGGUCUUUCUUCUGGAAUGGUCAGCAUGUUUUACGUUGCCUGCUGUCACUGACUUCCAUAAGAAGGACCCUGACCUUGAUGGAGAUUCCCCUUUCUUGUGGCUCCCCAGCAGUGAAGAGGACUGCCUGCAGUUGUAGGGUCUAUUCUUGGAACUUCCUCUCCCAAAAGCACUGAGUAGAAAACCCAGUUGCCUGGGCUAGUUUUAGACCACCACUCCUUUUCAUUUCUCAGGGACAGGACUCCCUCACACAACUUCUUGGAUUCCUUUUUGUUUAUUUUCUUAGUUCAUGUAUAUUUCUAACUGGUAUAUUGGAUCUUGUGAACUAUACAGUCCCCAGUUUAGAAACAGUUCAGAUAAUUAUCUGACUUCACCUUCUGAACAUCACUUGACUCUAAUAAGAUAGCAAAGUCUUCAAUUUGUCAGGAGCAGAACUUGAAAGGAAAAAACAAAGCCCAUGACUGUAAUAUUGCAAUAACAAACAGCAGCAUUUAGGAAUUUUAAAAUUAUACUUAGGUUCCUUUGUGUCAGACUUAUUUCACUUAGCAUAACGUCCUCAAGGUGCAUCCAUGCUGUAGCAUGUGUCAGGAUUUCCUUCCUUUUGAAGGCUGAAUAAUAUUCUAUGAUAUGCAUAUACCACACUUUGUUUAUCCACCCAUCUGUUGAUGUACAUUUUGGUUGUUUACACCUUUUGGCUAUUGCGAAUGCUGCAGCUAUGGACUUGGGCAUGUAAAUAUUUUCAACUGUUUGGAGUAUAUACCAUAGAAAUAGAUCACAUGGGAAUUCUAUGAUUAGUUUUUUGAGGAACCACCAUACUGUUUUCCAUAGAGGCUGUACCAUUUUACACCCUUACUAGCAAUGCACGAGGGUUCAAAUUUCUCCACAUCCUCACCAACACUUGUUAUUUUCUGGGGUUUUUUUUUUUUUUUUUUUGAUA
RNAcentral lists this long non-coding RNA (4612 nucleotides) under Sus scrofa (pig). RNAcentral's name for it is "lncRNA (ENSSSCG00065033049.1)". The record is from RNAcentral. Lineage: Eukaryota; Metazoa; Chordata; Mammalia; Artiodactyla; Suidae.